AGUUUGAUCCUGGCUCAGGAUGAACGCUGGCGGCGUGCCUAACACAUGCAAGUCGAGCGAUCUUCUUCGGAAGAGAGCGGCGGACGGGUGAGUAACGCGUGGGUAACCUGCCCUGUACACACGGAUAACAUACCGAAAGGUAUGCUAAUACGAGAUAAUAUGCUUUUGUCGCAUGGUAGAAGUAUCAAAGCUUUUGCGGUACAGGAUGGACCCGCGUCUGAUUAGCUAGUUGGUAAGGUAACGGCUUACCAAGGCGACGAUCAGUAGCCGACCUGAGAGGGUGAUCGGCCACAUUGGAACUGAGACACGGUCCAAACUCCUACGGGAGGCAGCAGUGGGGAAUAUUGCACAAUGGGCGAAAGCCUGAUGCAGCAACGCCGCGUGAGCGAUGAAGGCCUUCGGGUCGUAAAGCUCUGUCCUCAAGGAAGAUAAUGACGGUACUUGAGGAGGAAGCCCCGGCUAACUACGUGCCAGCAGCCGCGGUAAUACGUAGGGGGCUAGCGUUAUCCGGAAUUACUGGGCGUAAAGGGUGCGUAGGUGGUUUCUUAAGUCAGAGGUGAAAGGCUACGGCUCAACCGUAGUAAGCCUUUGAAACUGGGAAACUUGAGUGCAGGAGAGGAGAGUGGAAUUCCUAGUGUAGCGGUGAAAUGCGUAGAUAUUAGGAGGAACACCAGUUGCGAAGGCGGCUCUCUGGACUGUAACUGACACUGAGGCACGAGAGCGUGGGGAGCAAACAGGAUUAGAUACCCUGGUAGUCCACGCCGUAAACGAUGAGUACUAGCUGUCGGAGGUUACCCCCUUCGGUGGCGCAGCUAACGCAUUAAGUACUCCGCCUGGGAAGUACGCUCGCAAGAGUGAAACUCAAAGGAAUUGACG
This 876-nucleotide ribosomal RNA is filed under the name uncultured bacterium. Its description in RNAcentral is "bacterial SSU rRNA". It matches the Rfam family "Bacterial small subunit ribosomal RNA", at positions 10 to 915 of the family's 1533-position model. The record is from RNAcentral.